Long non-coding RNA from Macaca mulatta (Rhesus monkey), 1211 nucleotides. NCBI's taxonomy places the organism in Eukaryota, Metazoa, Chordata, Mammalia, Primates, Cercopithecidae. The record is from Ensembl.
GCGCCCGAGCUGCGAGUGCGCCGGGGGGUGGAGUGCCGCCUUUUAAAGCCGCUCCGCGCCAGGGAAGCGCCGCCGCCGCCACCGCCGCGGGCGGGAGCCAGGGAGGAGGAGGCGGCCGCGGCGCGUUCCCGCCCGCGCGGCCCGGCGGCGCCCCCGGGCCCGCGCUCCUGCGGCCGGGCUCCGGGGCCGAGACCGGUCCGGGAGGCCCGAAACGCCCCCCACCGGGGGAACUUCUCCGCCGACUUUUGGGGCUCUCGGGACGCAGGACCGCCCCAGCGGCGGCCUCGGCCCCGCGAGUUCUGCUGGGAGCGGGGAGGCCCUGGCGUCUCAGAAGCACCCACUGAGCUGGGACCAGCAGUGGGAAAGUGAGUUGAAUCAUCCUCACCCCUGUUGCCUGGAGCAGCCUGGUAUCCAGUGGAUAAUGAUUUGAAGUACCCUGGAGAUGUAUGGAAAUGUUCCAUGACCAAGGAAUUAUGAAGGAUGGACUGGAUGCUCAUCAGCCCCUGCCAAUGGAGAGACACGAGGCCCUCAUGCAAACUGGCAGCCCUAGAGGAGAACCCACCAUACCUGUUGGACAGAAACAGUACCCAGAACCCUCAGUCUGCCUCUGCCUGACAUGGCCCUGGCUGCCUGGCCAACUGGCCUGUAGAAGAGGGAUAUUGGCCUGAGUCAAGGGGACAGAGUUGGAGGCAUUGCAUUGUCACCUAGCAGCAGUAUGUCUGGGCAACAUGUGUUACCUCUCUUCCCCUUCUCCUGCCGGCCAGAUAUCCCUCAGAUUCAUCCUGGAUCCGGUACUGUUCUUCUUCGAGUAUAUGGCCUGCUUCAAGAUAAUGUACACUGCACAUCAGCUAAAUAAUUAUAAAGCAGCUAGUGUCUCCCAAGACGGAGCCCCCGCAAUGUCAGUGAUUUUGACAGGCAGAGGUGACUGCCACAGAUCGGAGGAUCAUAUCCUCUCAAUACAGCCUCCAGGGAAGAAGCACAGGAGCGACUUUCCAUCUCUUGAAUGUCUUCUUCUCCCUGGGGAAGAAGCACCUAAAUCUCCAGUCCACUUCCUCUCAGGCCCCACCUACCAGAUCUGGGUCACAGCCCUCCCCCCCGCCUGCUGCCAGGUAAUCAUAGACAGGGUGAGCAGGGAGGCUCAGGUUGCUUUCCAUCAGUCUUACCUCUUCUCCUGGGGAACACUCCCUGAGCACAUUGCUGCCCCAGAUUGA